Molecule: ribosomal RNA, 502 nt
Filed under: uncultured bacterium
Lineage: Bacteria
Description: SSU rRNA
Rfam family: Bacterial small subunit ribosomal RNA
Source: RNAcentral
AGAUUGAACGCUGGCGGCGUGCCUAACACAUGCAAGUCGAGCGGUAACAGGUGUAGCAAUACAUGCUGACGAGCGGCGAACGGGUGAGUAAUGCUUUGGAAUCUUCCUAGUAGUGGGGAAUAACCAGUCGAAAGAUUGGCUAAUACCGCAUACGUCUGUAAAGGGAAAGCGGGGGCUCGUAAGACCUCGCGCUAUUGGAUGAGCCAAAGUCGGAUUAGCUAGUUGGUGGGGUAAUGGCCUACCAAGGCGACAAUCCGUAGCUGGUCUGAGAGGACGACCAGCCACACCGGAACUGAGACACGGUCCGGACUCCUACGGGAGGCAGCAGUGGGGAAUAUUGGACAAUGGGGGAAACCCUGAUCCAGCGACGCCGCGUGUGUGAAGAAGGCCUGCGGGUUGUAAAGCACUUUUAGUGGGGACAAAAGCUACGGAUUAAUACUCUGUGGUCUUGAUUUAACCCAAAGAAAAGCACCGGCUAACUCUGCGCCAGCAGCCGCGGUAA